ACGGAGGGUGCAAGCGUUAUCCGGAUUUACUGGGUUUAAAGGGUGCGUAGGUGGGUCUGUAAGUCAGUGGUGAAAUCUCCGGGCUUAACCCGGAAACUGCCAUUGAUACUAUAGGUCUUGAAUAUUCUGGAGGUGAGCGGAAUAUGUCAUGUAGCGGUGAAAUGCUUAGAUAUGACAUAGAACACCAAUUGCGAAGGCAGCUCACUACGGGAUUAUUGACACUGAGGCACGAAAGCGUGGGGAUCAAACAGGAUUAGAUACCCUGGUAGUCCACGCCCUAAACGAUGGAUACUCGACAUCAGCGAUACACUGUUGGUGUCUGAGCGAAAGCAUUAAGUAUCCCACCUGGGAAGUACGAUCGCAAGAUUG
RNAcentral lists this ribosomal RNA (369 nucleotides) under uncultured bacterium. RNAcentral describes it as "bacterial SSU rRNA". It matches the Rfam family "Bacterial small subunit ribosomal RNA", at positions 525 to 896 of the family's 1533-position model. The record is from RNAcentral.